UGUGUAGAGCCAAGAAAUACGUCGUGUUUUCUCUCUCUCGGUAAAUUUCUUGCCUCUCUCAUU
Molecule: microRNA precursor, 63 nt
Organism: Monodelphis domestica (gray short-tailed opossum)
Lineage: Eukaryota; Metazoa; Chordata; Mammalia; Didelphimorphia; Didelphidae
Product: mdo-mir-7398w
Source: Ensembl